This 465-nucleotide ribosomal RNA is filed under the name uncultured bacterium. RNAcentral's name for it is "partial 16S ribosomal RNA". It matches the Rfam family "Bacterial small subunit ribosomal RNA", at positions 28 to 507 of the family's 1533-position model. The record is from RNAcentral.
GACGAACGCUGGCGGCGUGCUUAACACAUGCAAGUCGAACGGAAAGGCCCCUUUGGGGGUACUCGAGUGGCGAACGGGUGAGUAACACGUGAGUAACCUGCCCUUGACUUCGGGAUAACUUCAGGAAACUGGGGCUAAUACCGGAUCGGAAUCCUUGCUGCAUGGUGGGGGUUGGAAAGCUUCGGCGGUUUUGGAUGGACUCGCGGCUUAUCAGCUUGUUGGUGGGGUAGUGGCUUAACAAGGCUUUGUCGGGUAGCCGGCCUGAGAGGGCGACCGGCCACAUUGGGACUGAGAUACGGCCCAGACUCCUACGGGAGGCAGCAGUGGGGAAUAUUGCACAAUGGGCGGAAGCCGGAUGCAGCAACGCCGCGGGCGGGAUGACGGUCUUCGGGUUGUAAACCGCUUUCAGCAGGGGCGAAGCUUGUGGUGACGGUACCUGCAGAAGAAGCACCGGCUAACUACGUG